GUCGAAUCGAUUUUGGAGUAAAUAUCCCAAAUAUCUAACCAAAACACGUUUUAAUUUAUUUUGGCGGAUUACAUAUUUCAGUGUUUCUUAUUAUGGUUCAGGCAAAUAAUCAUUUACAACCCUCUCCCCCUCAAGUAUCAGUAAAAGUAGUUCGCGAGAAUGUCGGAGGCUUUUCGAUAAGACACUCGUAUCCGAAAAGUAUUAACUUUUUUCGGAUAAUUUAUGAAACGAGCAACUUUAAAAUUUUACAUUUCUGUUAUUUUUUUCUCACCCUUUUUUAGGGUUAACAUCACUGUCCACUUUUGGUUUUCAACGAGAUUUUCGUUCGAUGAAAAUUUAAAAUGUCAACACGUUAUUUUGUUAAUAUAACUAAAAUGGCAUUUAUUUAUAGAAUAUUAAAUAAAUAUAGUUUGUUAUUUUCAAAUCAAAAGUGUACAGUAAUU
Molecule: non-coding RNA, 443 nt
Organism: Cinara cedri
Lineage: Eukaryota; Metazoa; Arthropoda; Insecta; Hemiptera; Aphididae
Source: the annotation of a GenBank genome assembly